This is an RNA transcript of Alligator mississippiensis (American alligator), 13229 nucleotides long. It is a transcript of the gene named craniofacial development protein 1, with no coding region annotated. Lineage: Eukaryota; Metazoa; Chordata; Crocodylia; Alligatoridae. The transcript has 10 exons. The record is from RefSeq and is a predicted model, not a curated record.
CGAGCCCGCCCCGACAGGCACGAUGCGUCUCCAAUCAGCUGUCUCCGCCGCCCACGUGGGCCACGCCCCAGCGGAACAGGCGCUUCCGGAGGGCGGGGGCGGUGCGUCGCCGGGGGGUGGUGCUGGUGAAGGUCACGUGGGCGCCGAGCUGCAUGCUAGAAGCCCCCAUCCCAGCCUCCAGCUACGGUACUGGAAGUCCGCUUCUCGUCUCCGGAUGUCCCGCCUCCUUCUUCCAGAUUUGCUAGUCCACCCUUUUCUCUAUGGUUCAGCGGCACUAGAGCGGUCGCUUGGGUCCGCGCAAUUUUCCUCUGGGGGUGAAGGCUGCGUUAGCUCGGGCUCCCGAGUCUCUGUGGUGCCGGCGCGGAGCGGCAUGUCGGGCUCGGAGGACUACAGCUCGGCGGAGGACGAGGACUACGUGCCCUCGGGUGCUGAGUACAGUGAAGAUGAUGUGAGUGAAUUGGUAGAGGAAGACGAGGAAGAAAAUUUGAACAAAAGGAAAAAAGGUUCCAAAAGUAUUGCAUGCAGGAAAAGGAAGAAAGGAGGCCUCUUGUUAGAGCCAGGUGACUCUGAGGAGGCAAAGGCUCAACAAGGUGAGAAGGAAGAGGUGGAUAGUCUAAGGCAGGUGGAAGGAGACAGAUCAGAAGAAGAAGAGAAGAAGAAAGAGGAUGCUCUUUGGGCCAGUUUCCUCAGUGAUGUGGGACAGAAACCUAAAACCCUGGCUGCUGCUCAGGUGACCAGUCCACAGACUUGCAAGACUGUAAAGAAGAAUUUGAACAAGUCCCUAAAAGAAGUAGAAGAGCCAGAGGAGCAGAAGGAUAUUGAAAAAGUGACAAUCACCAAAGUGUUUGAUUUUGCAGGUGAAGAGGUCAGAGUGACUAAAGAAGUAGAUGCUGCCUCAAAAGAAGCCAAAUCUUUUCUGGAACAGCAAGAGAAGGAGAAAACUCAGACAGCAAUUCCAGCUUCUCUUCCUACAGUCUCUGGGGUGAAAAGGCCAAGUGGCAUGAACAGCCUCUUGGGGAAGAUUGGCUCCAAAAAGCAGAAGAUGAACACCCUGGAGAAAUCCAGACUGGACUGGGAGAAUUUCAAGGAUGAGCAGGGGAUUGGGGAGGAGUUGGCUAUCCACAACCGAGGGAAAGAAGGCAAUGCCAGACCUCACCACUGGAGCAUGCCAGGCCUGAGAGGGGUAAUUGUGAUGCAGCUGCUCCCCCAAUAUGCAUGAGGCACCUUUGUCUAUGUCCCAGACGUACCCUUUUCCCGCCGGCUUGAGUUGCAGACGGAUUUACUGGCAUUGGCCUCGCCAGCUGGAGCAACUCACAUUGUUGUCCAGACGACCGAACCAUUUCCGUCACAGCCAGCCACGACGACAUUCGCACAGGUCAUACUUCUAAUGAUCUUACCCCAAUCCCUGGAGUCAGAUGAUACAGGUGUUAAUGAAGGUGCUUUGGAAGCACAACAGCUCCAUGAGCCUAUCAAAAAGGCCAAGAUCUAUCAAACCUCUACAGGGGCAAGCAAAUCACAAGAGUGAGAACAGAAAAGAAAGAGAGUCUCUGGCUCAGAACCAGGGACAGCAGAGUCCCUGCUACUGGCAUCCAGGGGCUUGGAGCCGCAGUGCUUCCAUAGUGUCUCCAAGGGGCAAAGGGAGCCAGAUCUGGGCUCUUCAGCCCCCCCUGCAGGGGACCAGAACUUAAAACUGAAUGUAUUGCUAGUGAAACCAACCAACUGGAAGCUCUGGGCUGGGACAGCCACAGAGAAGGUAAAGCCUGGACAAACUUUCCAGGCCUAUCCUGCAGAGGCACCCCUCCCUGAGAGAAGAUUGGUAUCUGUGGCCCAUUCGUGCCCCACAGAAAAGUGCCAGGGCUGGUGGCAAUACCUAUAAUGGAAACCCGCCUGCUGUCUCUAAACCAAUGCCACAUAACCUUACAGCCAGUCAGUGAUGUCGACUCUGCCAGCACUCAUCCUGGCUGCAUUAGCACCUUUAAUUCUAAUCUCAGUUCAGAAAUAUUCAUGGCCUACAUACUAAAGCCAGAGAUGGCUGCUCUUUGCUGACACUAGCAGGAUGUGACAGGGCAGCUAUGUAUUUUUGCAUCUGUGCUGUGCUUGGACAGCACUUUAACUGACCAGUUCCUUUGUUUUGGAGCUGACAGCUGAUGUUGAAGUCUGUGGGGAUUUCUGGAGAUGGGUGUUUUUCAUUUCUGGAUCUAAGAUACAUUGGCUGUUUGCAUGAUAACAAAACCAUAUGUCAGCCUAGUGGUAUAGCGGCACUGAUGGUCAGAGGACAGUUUGCCAAGUGCUGUUUUGUCUGUUCCUCCUGGAAAUAAAGGAUUGUUGGGCUCUACCAGAAAGCUUCCCUUUGCACUGCAGCCCUAGUAGUGAGGGAAAAGCAGAAAUAGCUGGUAUCCAGCAGUUGUGUCCCUCAAGAUAUACAGCCACAGCAGCUGUAAGGUACUCAGUACCAAACACUCCUUUUGAUUCCAGUGGGAGUGGAAGGCAGUCAGGCUGACAGACACAGAAGUGCUAUAUAAUACUGUGAUAAAUACUCACUUGAAUAGAACCAUUUUAUGAGCACUGCACACUACCUUCUUGGCAACAGGAAGCUGCGGUAUAUGGUAUUAUUUGUAUUUCCUAUAUGACAGUAUCAUAUCCAUCAAACUCAAUAAAGGCUGUGAAAGAGCAAACAAGAAAGUGACACAGCAGAUCUAAAUAAGGAUGCCCAGUACACACUUGAAAAACCACAGGGCAAGCUGUUAGCUUUAAGAAUCCGGUGUCUAGGUUCUAAGAAAUUGUGAACCUUAUUUUGCUAAAAUGGCACUUCUUGUGGGAGAAGAGAGAGUCAUCUUUUAUUUUGCUGGAUCAAGGUCUUUACUGGGUCAAAGCACAGCAGUGCACAGUGUUAGCAGCAGUACCAGCCUUGGCUUGGGGACAGACAGGAAAUUCAUCUCCACUUCUUAGCCAGACAGCCAAGAUGGUGGGCAGGACCUUGCUGAAGGCACAGUGUACUUUUGAGGUGCCUCGCUGAUCAGGAGCAUAGCCAGGUCCACCCAGAAGCCCUGAGACAGCAGCUUGAAGUUGACCAGGUCCACCUGCAAGUCAUAGGUGUGUAGGUCACUGAGCUCACAGUGUGUUGCUGAUGCCAUCUGUGCUUUUCUCAAUGUUUCCAGGGCACUGGCCACCUUCCUGCCAUGUGUGAGAGCCUGGUUGGAGCUGUGGUGCAGGCUGAAAGGGGGUGGGGGGGUUUUGGCUUAGAAGUAAAUGGUGACCAUCUCCAGGGGCUUGGUUCUAAAGUCUUCCUGGUGGCUGAGUGCCUUCUCUUGGGUGUUCUGCAACAGCUGCUUAUCCUUGGUAGCCAGGAUGGCAGUGGCUGUUCAUCUGUCUGGAGCUGCCUGUCAGCACCUGUCUAGGGAUAUCGGCUGACACAGAAAGAGAGAGGCUCUGAGGUAAGAUGCUCGCCUGAAGUACACAAACCAAUGGGAAGCCAGCCUGCCAGUGGCUUGCUGGGCCCUGAGCUAACAACACACAACAGAUGCCAGCCAGCCACAGCAGCGAGGGCAGGGUAAGGAUCUCAGUGCAUGAGUGCACCUGCAACUGCAUCCCAAACAGACUCAUGCUCCUGUGUGCAGCUGUGCCCUAGCCUUUUGGGAGACAGGGUCUGACAUGCCAAGUGCUGCGGUACUAAUGCUGAGCAUGGUCUGGCAGCUGGGCUGGUGGCAGAGCAGUCACAUGACUAAGUAAGCAGGCCUUCCCAGAGACCGGGAAUAGUAACUCUUAGGGAAAACCAAAUGUGCACGCAGUCUUUUCCUGGUUUGAAGACAGGUUUUGUCCAUCCAUAUGAUGCUACAUUUGAAGGAGGAUAUUUGGUCACUGUAUUAACCACUGUCAUUAUCCUGGGGUAAGAGAGGUUCAGAACUGACAAAUGGACUGACGUCAAAACAGCUGAGAUAAAUCCUAGGUGACAAACAGCCCCAGAGCCUGGUCUGACAAGUAGGCGAACCAUCUGACUCCAUCCCAAGAGACAGGGUGAUGGCUCAAGGGCUGACACCUCUGUGGGGGAAGGGUUUGCAGUCAGACCUCACUGAGCAGUGGCAGGUGCAUUCUGUCCAGUUACUGUUGGUCCACAUCAGCUGCCAUGUGAUGGUUACUGUAGCGAAAGCAUUGGUGUCUGUGACCUUUUCUAGCACUGCAACAUGUAGUUGUGUUUUGGAUUCCUCCUCCUUAGUACUUGCUCCUGAGGGGUUGCAACAAUGCUUGUUAAAGUAGCAAAUGCUGGGGAUCAUUCCCAGUGGGGAUAGUCAGACCUUAUAUAGACACAGUGAUUCCUUUUCCAUGCUGUACCAUACUAAGCACUUUUAUACUGGUGUAACCCCAUCUACCCUCAGGGCCUGUACUGAUCCAGGAGAGCUGAUGCAGUGAAUUGUUGUUAUAUGUGGAUAAGCUCAAUAUCAAAUUGAACCAGCUCAAGGGCUUCUGAGUGUGGCUACUGAAGACGCUUGCAGAGAAUCCUCAGUGUAGGUUUUGUUGUGCAUGUAACAGUACCCAACAAGGUUCAGCAGUAAGGACUGACCCUGAGACCUACUCCCCCUCAUCCCCUUCCCCCCCCAGCAGUGAAAGUCAAACUAAGGAUGACCCUGGCUGCAAGGGCUUGUGGGUUUGCAGCAUGGCUCUGACAUCUGUCAGGCAAAGCGGGAUGAGAAGAGGUUGCUCUUCUCUGGUGACACAAAUAAGUUACGUCUGACUUGGUAUGUUGCCUUGCUGCUCUCUAGGAGCGUGGCCAACUCUUCAGCUACCAGGAUGGAGCUACAUCAAAUCUGAGCUGAAAGCAGCUAAUCCGGGUGGGGCUUCUCAAUUGCCAAUCUGCCCCAGGACUCCAAACCUUGUCCAUUGGUUGCAUCACUGGCAAAUUGGUGAGAGUAAACCAAAGUGAAGGGAAACAUAUACAUUCCUCUCCCAGGCCUUGAUUUUCCUCUUGAAUGGGGGAGAUGUUGGAGAGCUGCUCCUACUUCCGCUGGACAAGUGCGAGUACAGUCUUAUCUCCAUUAGUGACGGAGUGAUGGUGCCAAUCAGCAGAGCAGCCCUGGGGAGGAACCUGUCCUGCUAUGUGUCCUCCUCCUCCAGCUUAUAUCUGGUGAACAGCUGUGGUAGGAGGAGGUAGUGUUCUGGAGUAGCUCCCACUCUGAAGGAAACACAUGCCAAACUCUUUGCUGGAAUUCAUCUUCCUGUUUGUGCAUCGUUAUCUCAGUCUCUGGAUGCUGUGACUCUCAGGGCAAUAACCCUUGUAUCCCCAGGCCCCAACAGCUGUCCCUGUGCUUCACAAAGGCUUGCCACGUCAUAGAAUGCAGAAGUCCUGUCUGUUGUCUGCUGUAACCACUCAGGAAAAAAUCCAGACAAGUAAAAUCAGACCUAGUGUGGGGUGUAGUGAUAGACAUUAUGGGCAUAUUUACCCAUGUGCCGGAGUGGGGAAGGGGGCACUUUAAUUACAGCAGCUCUGAGAGCCACUUUAAUUAAAGUGCCUAUGGCAUCAAGUGCAUUCAGCAUCCUGUGCUUCAGAAUGGUGAUAGAGGCACUUUAAUUAAAGCUCAUUCAUUGAGCUUUGGUUAAAGUGCCCCUGCCACUAUAUUGAAGUGCAGGGACUCUGAAUAGACAUAAUGCAGAGGCUGCUGGAGCAUGCUAGUUAGCAUGCUCCAGUAGACUCGAUUAAUCAAGUCUGAUACGACACAUCCUAAUUAGCAUACAUUGGAGCAGCCGUCUGGCAUGUGUAUACGUGUCCUAUAAUUUAGAGAUGCUCCCUGAUAAAAGACUAAGGAAAUUGGGAAUUGGGAGUUGGUCCCUCAGUUAUGAAACAGCUUGUUAUAGAGAAACAAGUGUGUAGAAGUUGCCUACUGCUGCACAAUUAAAGUUUGUUGUUCAUUCUUCUCAUCCGUUGUAUGCUUGUGUUUAUUGAACCCGGUAAUCAAUAUGUGUGGACCCUGCAGCCAAGCAGGGAGCAACAUCAUCACUGCAAUGAGAUUGUCUCAGACUGCCCUGGUGAGCACAGUGCAGGCAGGAGUUAAUGGUAGGUUUCCUGGAUGGCUGCUGUCCCUGACAGUCAUGUGCUUCAACAGCAGCUUGUCCCUGGCAGGCUUGAAUCACUCUGAUAAUAGCACAGUGCCUGGAAAAGCCCGGACCAACCUGGCAGUCAGUGCACAUCCAGCUCCACAAUUAACUCACUCAUCUGGGAAACCAGUCUAUAUGUUUCUUGGAGCAGUGACCAUGUCUUCUUUCUCUCGCUAAAGUUCCACAGACUUUGCCAGUCCUGAAGCCUCCUGUUCUGGCACUGAGUUCCUGUUUGAAAAAAUAAGGGCAGGGCCCACCCUCCUUGCCUGCAGACUGAAUUGAACAGUUGGGCACCCACCCUAUAUAGUGCUAAAAAAGGCUAAAUAAUAAUCCCUAAGUUGUUUGUAUGGUUGGAGGGGUGAUACCAUCCUAAUGAAACUUCAGAGGUGGUUUUUUUUGUUUGUUUGUUUUUUGUUUUGUUUUUUGCAAGGGGCUCUCUGUUGAUACUGAAAUGAGAAGCUGGUCCCAUUGGCAGGGAGUUAUACUCAAUACUUGGGGGGAGGGGAGGGUUCCCACCACUCAGUUUAAUUAAAUAAAGUUUAAUUUCACUACUUCAACCCUGACUUCUCUGGCCCUGCUGUGAAUGGAUUCUUUGAGGCACUAGUGGUCCUCUUCUCUCUGCAUAACCUCAGUGGUUGAGUUUGGUUCUUUAUUCUGCAUUUAGAUAGGACCUGGUGCAAUGGCCACCUGGUCCAUGAGUUUUUACUACAGUUAUCAUCACCUGUUCCCCCUCCUUGAGUCAGACCUUAAAAUGUUGUAAGAUGGAGUAGCCUCCUUUGGAUUUAACCAGAUUUGUUUUCAUACAAGUAGGUGAGAGGUUCUGCUAAUCCAGUACAUAGUAACAGCUAAGAGAAAAGCCUUUGGGCCUGCGGGAAAACAGCUAAGAGAAAAGCCAGCUAAGAGAAAAGCCUGUGGGCCUGCAGGAAAACUCCCGCAGGCCCCUCCACCUUCUGCAGGUGAAGGGGCCUGUGGGAGUUGCAUUCAGGCUGCAACUCAGCUCCUCUCCCCCAGUUUGGAAGAACUCUGUGGACUUGAUUUUUUUUUUUUAAAGCGAAUGGGUAAGAUGCUCACCUGAAGUACACAAACUAAUGGGGAGCCAGUCUGCCAGUGGCUUGCUGGGCCCUGAGCUAACAACACACAACAGAUGCCAGCCAGCCAUGGCAGUGAGGGCAGGGUAAGGAUCUUAGUGCAUGUGUGCACCUGCAGCUGCAUCCCAAGCAGACUCAUGCUCCUGUGUGCAGCUGUGCCCUAGCCUUUUGGGAGACAGGGUCUGACAUGCCGAGUGCUGCAGUACUAAUGCUGAGCAUGGCCUGGCAGCUGGGCUGGUGGCAGAGCAGUCACAUGACUAAGCAGACAGAGCAGCUGUCUGCAACCUCCUGGUACAGCCUAAUCCAUUUCAACUCUCUUCCCUCAGCCCUUUGGCUGGUGUCCUGAGUAGGCUACAAAAGAAUUAACUGUCAAUUAACCUUGUCCAAGUUCAGAAGGAAGCUGUGAGACUCAUAAGCUCCUUAGUGCUGUUCACACAGAACUUGGCCUGCUCUCUCUUCCCAGAAGCCAGUUAGCCCUUAUCUCCCUCCAAACAUGUCUACUCUGCAAGGGCUUUCCAUUUCCAGGGCAUCAGGCUGUUCACCCAGCAUGAUCUGCAGAGGAAUACCACCAGCAAUCUGCUGAUUGACAGUGCAAGCUGCACUAACUCCAUCCAAGGCUCCAGGGCCUCUGAGGCCUUUGUUUCAACCCUGUAAGAAAACAGUUUCUUCAAAAGCAGAGGUGUAACACUGCACCUAGGUGCCUAGGACAGCUGUGACACACAGGGGUAGUGGUAACUUCUGCCUGCCACUGUGCUGCUAGCAUAAUUGCAUGGCUACAGGGGAAUUUUGUUCUGCCCUCCCUCCAAAGUUUCAAAGGUCUCCCUUUCCCAAUCACUUCUGUUAUUUAAGGUCAUGGCAGGGAGGGGUCCCUUAAAUGAAGACAAUGAGAGUGCAGAUUCUCAACCUAUGGGCUGUGCCGAUCAAAUGGGCAGUACAACAUGAAGAUCACAGGGGUAUUCUGACAGCACAAAGAUAUUCCCAAAAUCCAAUCCCAGCAUGCAGUGUGUAGUGUUCAUUGGGUUCAAUAAACACAGUCAUACAACAAAUAAGAAGAACUAACAAUAAAUUUCAUUUGUGGAGCAGUAAGCAACCUCUGCAGACCCUUUGUCUGUCUAUAGCUAACCAGCUGUUUAAUGGAGGGACCAUCCCACAGUUAUCAACUUCCUCAGUCUCUUUAGUUAGGGAGCAUCUUCAAAUUACAACUUCUAUUGCUGCAUAGCAGGUUCAGUGUAAAGCCUGGUUUAGAGUCCUAGGUGAGACACUUUGUUCAAAACUCCUGAUCAUGCACAUAGUUAAAGAUUAGAACAGGCUCCUUAAAUCUGGGGUGACAGGCUAUUUUGUCAGGAUAUCUGGGACCUUCGCCAAAGCCCUGUAGAUUUGCCUGACCUACGGAUGUGCACGUGCAUUUGUACACACACACACACACACACACGUGUGUGUGUGUGUGUGUGUGUGCGCGUUCCCACUUCCCAGAAACUUCCUAUUGUAUGCAUGUGAAAACUCUCAAACUUGCCCACGCCCCUGUACACAUAGUAUCAAUUUUAUUUAUGCUGUACUGUCUCUUCUCCCCUCCCCCACCCCCAGCUCCACAUACACACAGUUUUUACCACUUGCCCAAAAAGCAGUUAUUAUUUUAAUAUCAGCUGAUAUGCUCCUGUACUUUUAUACACACCAUCUGCCCCAAAAAAUCCUUGUGGUGUUUGUGAUGCAAAGACACAUGCAGGCACAUGCAUGCUCCUUCCCAUUGUUCAGAAAGGUACAGCUAGACCAAUGCAACAAGUCUAUACUCAGCCUUGUGGCUUGCAGGCAGCUGGCGCUCUCAGGCAAGGUUAUUUUGAUCUUGUGAUACGUCAUCCUCACAGAACAUCAGCGGCUGCCUGCAGUGUUUAAGAGGCAUGCCUCUGAGCAGCCAGCUCUGCCAAUUAAUGAUGUCUUCACCAGGCUCUUUCAUUGGUUUGUCAUUGAUGGGCUCGCAAGGUGCUUAGAGGCAGGCACAUAUACUGAGCUGCUGAGAUUUCAAGCCCCUGUGGAAAUUCACAAUCGCACUGGAGUUUUCUAUUUAAAAUCCAAAGUGAUUUACAGACAUUAACAGACUGGGUCUAAUGCUGUCUGUGACACUGGCAGAGAACAUGAUCUGCAGUUUACAGAUGGGUAAAUGGAGGAAAGGAGAGGCCACACAAUGAAUCAAGAGUAGGGACUGGCAUCCAGAUCUUCUAACUCCCCGCUCAGUGCUUUCACUGGGCUCAGUUGCAUGAUGUCCAGGAUUGGUUUGGCCUAGUGGGUCUGUGCUCAGCUUCUGCAGUUUUUCAUGUAAUACUAAUCAGAUGCUAACAGUAUUGCCAGUUCUCAAGAUUUUACCACAGGACUCACAAUGUUUGAGGUUUUUCUUUAACCUCCAGCUCCUGGAGUCAAGGGAUUACAUGAGAGCCUUGAAUUUUAUUUUAAAAGUAUAGUAGCUUUCUAUGCUUCAUGGUGACUUUUAACAGCCGAAGACACCAGGAAAUGAUUACAAAGAACACCACGUUUCACAUUUUUAAACUCUUGUGGUUUUCAGCCAACCCGCUAUCCUGACUUUUUAUUUUUUUAAGCUAGUUCCUGCUAUCCUGACUCAUGAUUUUUUAAUAUUCAGGGUUGGCAACACUGUAUAAAAGAUCAUGGACAUUUCAUUUCACUGGAUGACACAAGUGCUGAUAGUCAGAUGGCCUUGAAAACAAUUGCUCUUUUAGUAAGCUGGCAGCUCUCAUUGGGAGACAAGGCUGAGAAAAAGCACAGGAGUGAUUAGCAGUCUCUGAAGAGGCAGCUUUAUGGAAGCACAGAUCUGACACUGGAUGCUGCAGAGGGAAUCCUGUCACUGUGUGGGAGAUAGUGGGCCUGCAGGAAAGGGGUGGUCUGGGGUGGAAAGAGAAGACCCUGCCCCCUAAAUUUGAUAGAGUAACACCAAGCACUGAGAAAUCUUCACAUGAAGCUCUGCAGGGACCUCUCCUGAAAUGGCUUGGCACAUUUUCAAAUCUGCCAGUGAGGUGAAGGAGCCACAGCUGCAUUGUAAGUCACUGGGGCUAAGGUGCCUAAAUCACUUAGGCGCUUAUGUACAAAAAUAAUUUAUUUUUCCCCUAGUUGCCCCUAGGACCAGACAGUUGCUCUCUGGGGCUUCUUUCUUACCUACAGUCACCAGGAACAAUUCUGUCCUGCUCAAUGUCCUCUCUCUAGCCCCAUUCAUCAGCAGUCAGUUCACACAGGGGCAAUUUAGGGAUCAUUUUUGCCCUGGAUGCCAAAGGAGUAUAACUGGGCUUCCUCCCCAUGCCUGGGCUGGCUCUGAGGCCCAUGGGAAUAGAGUCCAUUCCUUCUACUGUCAGUGAAAUAGCUACAGGACCAGGGAAUUCCACCCCCACCCCUGCUCUGAGCUGGCCUUAAAGGAUUAAAAAGGCUGCCAGGUGUAAAAACCAUUUAUUUUGAUUUCUCAAGACAGGAGUUGCUGUCCAAGAGGACAUUUGCACAGAGUCAGCCAUUCUUAGAUGGUCACUUCCCAAAAUGGAAUUAAACAUUGGCUGGGAUUUUCCAAGCAGCCAAAAGGAGUUAGACCCCUACAUUCCGUUAAACAUCCCUUACGCUCCUUGGAGAGUCCCAUCUGUGCCCUUUGUAACUGUCAAAGAGUCUGUAAUUGUUCCUGUCUACUGUGAACUUUGCAAAGGCCAUCCAUGGCUUUGUCACCUUGUGGUUGGCCUCUGUCCUGUGGUCAGGAGAAAUCCCCUUCCAAAGCAUAAUCAAAAUCCCACUGAAGAGACAGCCUGGAGCAUGAUACUCCUAUAUCACCUGCUCUGCACCCUGAGUGCGGCAAGCUCCUGGACCUAAUUCUCCGUUUUCUUCUACAAGUUUUAUGCUAGUGCCAUUCCAUUGGCUUCCAUAGAGCUAUUCCUGAUUUACACCAGUGCAUGUGAAAGAAGAAUUUUUUCCCAUAAAUCUGGGUCCUGUUUGCUUUCAGGAUUCACUCAGGAUUUACAGUCCUGAGUGAUUUAGGAUCUGCUUGUCUGAGAGAUUCAUGUAUCCUCAGUGGGCAGUGGGCCAUGACCGCGCCUGCCAGGGACUUCAUGAAUACACAAGAUGUUUUGUUCCCAUGAACUGUUCAGCAUUGGCCCAUCUCUUGAGACAUCAAACAAAGGAACAGUUGGUACAGUGAUAUUUUGAGGAAAUGUAAUAAUAUGGAAUGUAGAACCAAAUGUGAGCAGCCAAACCUUGAGUUGGGAAAAGCAGGAUCUACUUGACACAAAAUAUUAAUGCUAAUCUGUAUUUGACCUCUGGGCAUUACAGUGGCUGGUACUGUGUGAGAGCCAUGUAUAGGUGGGUGGACCUCCAACUCUUUCCAUGGAGACCCCCUUGAUUGUAAGAUUUAAUAGCUUUUUCUAGGCAGUCAGGAUGGUGGUAGUAUCUUUUAGAAUUUAUGCUAUCUUAAUGCACUGUAGCAGUCUGCCUUUGCCACGGCCCAGAAGAAGGUGGAGUGGAGAGACAGCUAACAGGAAAAAGGAGUGGCUUAUCUCUUCCUGUUGCUUUUCCAUGAACAGUCACACACGUCAUGCCAGGAUGAACCAGGGAUACUGCCUGUGCAAGACACAACAGACUUUUCUAGAAGACACUGAUGGACACAUGAAUACGACUGUAAAUUUUGCCUUGCAGUGUUUUCUAUAGCAACAGUCACCAGGGUAACCUGCAUCCUAAGCAACAAUUCCUGAAACUUUCAACUGUAUCUGCUUCCACCAGAAGCUGAUAAAAGACAAGCUUGAUGAGCUACCAGCAUAGCUUCAGUUGGUUGGAAAUGAAACAGAAGAGAGUAACACAAGAGCUGCAGAGGCAGAUUUCUUUACAUUUUGUCCCUGACAGAAAACAUGCAUUCCUGUUCUCUGGCAGUUGCCUGGUGGAUUAUGUUUAAUGCCUGCAAAUUGCUGCUUUAAUGCAAGGUGAUUAGCAGGACUGUUGUGAUUUUACAUGCACAAGAAUGAGGGAAUUCACAAUUAUGGUGGCUGCGUUAAUGGGAACUUGACCUUCUCACACAGGGCAAUGUUUACUAUGACUGAAUGGAGCUAAUUCUAAAGCCUUCCUAUAUGUGCUCAAAGUUGCUUAAUUCACAGUUGCUGUAUGAUCCCCAGCUGUGAACAUCCUGAAUUUUGUGUGUGUUGCAUCUUAACCCUAAUGUCUCAUUAACAUAGUUUCCAGUAUUUAACUUGCUUGGAUUUGAGAAAAGCAGCCGAGAAAAAAGUAACCUGCCAUUUCUUACACAUUACAGCCCCAUUUCAGUAUUAUGCUCUUCCUUUAACACUUCCGUUGUGGAAGUGUCAUUCAAUCAGAGGGUUCAUUCAUAUAUUGUGCUAGCUGUUGUAGAAAUGUAAUAAAUGAUGGUCUCUGCCUCAAGGCCUUUACAGGUGAGAUUCAACUGUAUAAUCUAGAUGCAUUUAUUGGAAUAUCCCCACAAUAAAUGGAAACUUCCGAUUGGCCAGUUUUUUAAACUUAAAAAUGUAGGUUUUAGAUUUGAAAUAGAUUUCAAAUAUUGAUGUCCAGCAAAAUGACAUUUAGGGACAGCUUCCUGUCCACAGCCAGAGCUGAUUCUCAGAGAGCCCAAAUGCUCAGCACAUAUGAAACAGCUCCAUUGAGCUGCAGUGAUUUACACUAGUGGAGAAGCUAGCUCCAAACUUUAUUGUUUAUAGGGCACAGGAUUUCAUUUGGUUAGAAUGACCUGAAGGAAAGUGGAGCUCCAGGGGAGGUGAGACAUUUGAAUGCAAUAUCCUUUGGAAAACAUUCACUUAAAACAGGAUUAAAAAAACUCAAGGACUUCUGCAAAACCCAACCAUUAUUAAAAUACUGAAGGGAUGAAUUUUAAAGCAAGGCAAACAUGAGAGCACAUGUGGGGAGUCACCUGGGAGAUGGAGCAGUGGACAUCCCUGUGGUAGAACCUGGGGGACUUGGGGUCUGUCUCUGUGAGCUUGGGUGACUUCCCUUUUCUGUUGCCCUUUGAAUCACUUGUCUUGCAUAUUAUAAGCUUGCUGAAACAAGAAUUACAUCUUUCUG